UAAUGAAACUUCAAAAGUCGGCUCGUCGUUCUGUGCUGGUGGGAGAGAUCCCCAUAUGUGCACGUCGACGGGUCGCAAAUCCACACACCUGUGCAUCUAUGACUCUGAGUAUCGCCGGCCUCGCCUUGGUGCUCGAGUAACUUUUACACACUCUGCAUGUAAUGGAAUGUCUAUUGUGCAUAAUGUACAACUAAAACAACUUUCAACAACGGAUCUCUUGGCUCUCGCAUCGAUGAAGAACGCAGCGAAAUGCGAUAAGUAAUGUGAAUUGCAGAAUUCAGUGAAUCAUCGAAUCUUUGAACGCACCUUGCACCCUUUGGUAUCCCGAAGGGUACACCCGUUUGAGUGUCAUUGUAAUCUCACCUCUUCGACUUUUUGUUGAGUCGACCAGUGUGGACUUGGAUGUUGCCGUGUGACAAACGGCUCGUCUGAAAUGCCUGAGUGUACCCUGCCUUGCGGCGUAUUUGGUGUGAUAAAAUCUUCACCGGAGUCUUGACCCUUGUGGUCAGCGCUUGCAUGGUUUGGCUCUAUGCUUUCCAACUGUCCCUAACAAGGACAAACUACUCUGACAAUUUGACCUCAAAUCGGGUGGGACUACCCGCUGAACUUAA
This 611-nucleotide ribosomal RNA is filed under the name uncultured fungus. RNAcentral's name for it is "eukaryotic LSU rRNA". The stretch from base 198 to 351 matches the Rfam family "5.8S ribosomal RNA". Lineage: Eukaryota; Fungi. The record is from RNAcentral.